CCUACGGGAGGCUUCAGUGGGGAAUAUUGGACAAUGGGCGAAAGCCUGAUCCAGCCAUGCCGCGUGUGUGAAGAAGGCCUUCGGGUUGUAAAGCACUUUCAGUGGGGAAGAAAGCCUUGGGGCUAAUACCCUCGAGGAAGGACAUCACCCACAGAAGAAGCACCGGCUAACUCCGUGCCAGCAGCCGCGGUAAUACGGAGGGUGCGAGCGUUAAUCGGAAUUACUGGGCGUAAAGCGCGCGUAGGCGGUCUGAUAAGCCGGUUGUGAAAGCCCCGGGCUCAACCUGGGAACGGCAUCCGGAACUGUCAGGCUAGAGUGCAGGAGAGGAAGGUAGAAUUCCCGGUGUAGCGGUGAAAUGCGUAGAGAUCGGGAGGAAUACCAGUGGCGAAGGCGGCCUUCUGGACUGACACUGACGCUGAGGUGUGAAAGCGUGGGUAGCAAACAGGAUUAGCUACCCUUGUAGUC
This 465-nucleotide ribosomal RNA is filed under the name Vreelandella stevensii. RNAcentral's name for it is "partial 16S ribosomal RNA". It matches the Rfam family "Bacterial small subunit ribosomal RNA", at positions 338 to 795 of the family's 1533-position model. The record is from RNAcentral. Lineage: Bacteria; Pseudomonadati; Pseudomonadota; Gammaproteobacteria; Oceanospirillales; Halomonadaceae.